RNAcentral lists this long non-coding RNA (568 nucleotides) under Homo sapiens (human). Its description in RNAcentral is "long intergenic non-protein coding RNA 1990". Lineage: Eukaryota; Metazoa; Chordata; Mammalia; Primates; Hominidae. The record is from RNAcentral.
AGUAUCCUAACUUCUUCACUCUUGUCCACAUUUGUCUUGGCGCUCUGGGGAAGAAGAUUUGGAGCAUCCUCUGGCUCUAUUGCUAACUACCUGUGUGACCUUGAAGAAAUGCAUUAACCUCUGUAUCUAUGUUUCCUCAAAUUUAUAUGGGGCAAUCAUUCCUAUGAUUGCUUUGAAAAUUAAAUAUGGAAGUGUCAACAAAGCAUAUGGUGGAGGAUCUGGUGCUCAAAGAAUAUUAGUUAUCUUCCUUAAGGAACUUAUAAGGACACUGCAGCCCAGAGAAGAAACCUGCAAAGGCCGUGUUCACACACUCACAAGAGAUAUGGCUGUGAUUUGGAUCCAGAUGUGAUGGGCUGACAACAAAACUCCUGUGAUACCAUGAAGUCUUCGGGAGGCAGAAUUGAAGUGAACAUGAAGUUUAGCUUAGAGAAGAAAAGAAUAAAUACAUACAAAACAUUUGAUGGUGAAUAAACAGAAAAUGGUGUAUUCAACAGAAUUUGACUCAGCAAUAAAAAUGAACCAAACUAUGGAAAACAACACCCAACAACAGGAAGAAAUCUCAAAAUAA